GUUCGAGCGUCAUUACAACCCUCAAGCUCUGCUUGGUAUUAGGUUCUACCCGCUAUGGGCAGGCCGCAAAAUCAGUGGCGGUGCCAUUUGGCUUCAAGCGUAGUAAAUAUUCCGCUGAGGAGUCCUUUUGAGCACCUGCUAUAAAACCCCAAUUUUUAAAGGUUGACCUCGGAUCAGGUAGGGAUACCCGCUGAACUUAA
RNAcentral lists this unclassified non-coding RNA (200 nucleotides) under soil metagenome. RNAcentral's name for it is "partial contains internal transcribed spacer 2 and large subunit ribosomal RNA". The record is from RNAcentral.